AACGCACAUUGCGCCCCUUGGUAUUCCGAGGGGCAUGCCUGUUCGAGCGUCAAUACAACCCUCAAGCAUUGCUUGGUAUUGGGCUCCGCUGCUCACCCAGCGGGCCUUAAAAUCAGUGGCGGUGCCGUCGAGGCCCUGAGCGUAGUAAAUAUCCUCGCUAUAGGGACUCGGUGGACGCUGGCCAUCAACCCCCAACUUUCUAAGUUUGACCUCGGAUCAGGUAGGGAUACCCGCUGAACUUAA
Molecule: unclassified non-coding RNA, 243 nt
Filed under: uncultured fungus
Lineage: Eukaryota; Fungi
Description: sequence contains ITS2
Rfam family: 5.8S ribosomal RNA (bases 1-52)
Source: RNAcentral